RNAcentral lists this ribosomal RNA (339 nucleotides) under Crotalaria cylindrostachys. RNAcentral describes it as "5.8S ribosomal RNA". The stretch from base 49 to 204 matches the Rfam family "5.8S ribosomal RNA". Lineage: Eukaryota; Viridiplantae; Streptophyta; Magnoliopsida; Fabales; Fabaceae. The record is from RNAcentral.
UCGGAGACGGUGCUCGUGCGGGCGGUGAUGCGACACACGUAUCCGAAAGACUCUCGGCAACGGAUAUCUCGGCUCUUGCAUCGAUGAAGAACGUAGCGAAAUGCGAUACUUGGUGUGAAUUGCAGAAUCCCGUGAACCAUCGAGUCUUUGAACGCAAGUUGCGCCCGAAGCCAUUAGGCUGAGGGCACGCCUGCCUGGGUGUCGCCCAUCGUUGCCCCAUUGCUUUGGCCUCGUGCUAGGCACCGAGCUGGGCGAAUGCUGGCUUCCCGCGAGCAAUGCCUCACGGUUGGUUGAAAACUGAGUCCGUGGUGGAGGGCGCCGUGACGGAUGGUGGUUGUU